RNAcentral lists this ribosomal RNA (468 nucleotides) under uncultured bacterium. RNAcentral's name for it is "bacterial SSU rRNA". It matches the Rfam family "Bacterial small subunit ribosomal RNA", at positions 333 to 793 of the family's 1533-position model. The record is from RNAcentral.
AGCAUCCUACGGGAGGCAGCAGUGGGGAAUAUUGCACAAUGGGCGCAAGCCUGAUGCAGCCAUGCCGCGUGUAUGAAGAAGGCCUUCGGGUUGUAAAGUACUUUCAGCAGUGAGGAAGGUGGGUAUGUUAAUAGCAUACUCAUUUGACGUUAGCUGCAGAAGAAGCACCGGCUAACUCCGUGCCAGCAGCCGCGGUAAUACGGAGGGUGCGAGCGUUAAUCGGAAUUACUGGGCGUAAAGCGCAUGCAGGUGGUUUGUUAAGUCAGAUGUGAAAGCCCGGGGCUCAACCUCGGAAUUGCAUUUGAAACUGGCAAACUAGAGUACUGUAGGAGGGGGUAGAAUUUCAGGUGUAGCGGUGAAAUGCGUAGGGAUCUGAAGGAAUACCGGUGGCGAAGGCGGCCCCCUGGACAGAUACUGACACUCAGAUGCGAAAGCGUGGGGAGCAAACAGGAUUAGAUACCCUGGUAG